This 168-nucleotide ribosomal RNA is filed under the name Ficus pellucidopunctata. RNAcentral describes it as "5.8S ribosomal RNA". It matches the Rfam family "5.8S ribosomal RNA". Rfam says of the family: 5.8S ribosomal RNA (5.8S rRNA) is a component of the large subunit of the eukaryotic ribosome. The record is from RNAcentral. Lineage: Eukaryota; Viridiplantae; Streptophyta; Magnoliopsida; Rosales; Moraceae.
GAAGAACGACUCUCGGCAACGGAUAUCUCGGCUCUCGCAUCGAUGAAGAACGUAGCGAAAUGCGAUACUUGGUGUGAAUUGCAGAAUCCCGUGAACCAUCGAGUCUUUGAACGCAAGUUGCGCCCGAGGCCAUCAGGUCGAGGGCACGUCUGCCUGGGCGUCACACGC